AGCUCAGUUGGUAGAGCAUGGGGCUUGCAACUCCAAGAUUGUGGGUUUGAUUCCAGU
RNAcentral lists this transfer RNA (57 nucleotides) under Salmo salar (Atlantic salmon). It matches the Rfam family "tRNA", at positions 9 to 63 of the family's 71-position model. From Rfam's summary of the family: Transfer RNA (tRNA) molecules are approximately 80 nucleotides in length. The record is from Rfam by way of RNAcentral. Lineage: Eukaryota; Metazoa; Chordata; Actinopteri; Salmoniformes; Salmonidae.